RNAcentral lists this unclassified non-coding RNA (213 nucleotides) under Melitaea cinxia (Glanville fritillary). RNAcentral describes it as "misc RNA ENSMCXG00005007573.1". The record is from RNAcentral. Lineage: Eukaryota; Metazoa; Arthropoda; Insecta; Lepidoptera; Nymphalidae.
ACUUUUGUUUCAAAGCUUUUGUCACGUUAAUAUUCGUCGCAUCAUUAGCGAAAACCGGUUGUAAAGCACAUCGAACACAUUGAUACACCGAAACAACACAAAAGAGGGCACUGGGGAGCACAUUUUGUUAUAUUUUUAUUAUAUUUUCUGUCAUACGAUACCGGUUGAGAUGAGAGAGCGUCGUGCGCUCGUAACGGUAGCGCGGGAAGUACU